This 190-nucleotide ribosomal RNA is filed under the name Brassica napus (rape). RNAcentral describes it as "rRNA LSU_rRNA_eukarya". It matches the Rfam family "Eukaryotic large subunit ribosomal RNA", at positions 1191 to 1379 of the family's 3401-position model. Lineage: Eukaryota; Viridiplantae; Streptophyta; Magnoliopsida; Brassicales; Brassicaceae. RNAcentral also lists the same sequence under 1 other name. The record is from Rfam by way of RNAcentral.
AACCCCGCGCCCAGGAACCCCGGUUGGAAAUGGGGAAGGGGCGGGUUUUACAAGGACAGUGGUCAUGGAAGUCGAAAUCCGCUAAGGAGUGUGUAACAACUCACCUGCCAAAUCAACUAGCCCCGAAAAUGGAUGGCUCUGAAGCGUGCGCCUUAUACCCGGCUGUCGGGGCAAGAGCCAGGCCUCGAUG